Molecule: ribosomal RNA, 422 nt
Filed under: uncultured archaeon
Lineage: Archaea
Description: partial 16S ribosomal RNA
Rfam family: Archaeal small subunit ribosomal RNA
Source: RNAcentral
CUACGGGCUGCUGCAGGCGAGAAAACUUUGCAAUGUGCGAAAGCACGACAAGGUUAAUCCGAGUGGUUUCUGCUAAAGGAACCUUUUGUCGGUCCUAGAAACACCGAUGAAUAAGGGGUGGGCAAGUUCUGGUGUCAGCCGCCGCGGUAAAACCAGCACCUCAAGUGGUCAGGAUGAUUAUUGGGCCUAAAGCAUCCGUAGCCGGCUCUGUAAGUUUUCGGUUAAAUCUGUAUGCUCAACAUACAGGCUGCCGGGAAUACUGCAUAGCUAGGGAGUGGGAGAGGUAGACGGUACUCGGUAGGAAGGGGUAAAAUCCUUUGAUCUAUUGAUGACCACCUGUGGCGAAGGCGGUCUACCAGAACACGUCCGACGGUGAGGGAUGAAAGCUGGGGGAGCAAACCGGAUUAGAUACCCCGGUAGUC